RNAcentral lists this long non-coding RNA (595 nucleotides) under Manacus vitellinus (golden-collared manakin). RNAcentral's name for it is "lncRNA (ENSMVIG00005015387.1)". Lineage: Eukaryota; Metazoa; Chordata; Aves; Passeriformes; Pipridae. The record is from RNAcentral.
UUUUCCUUUGCAGAUAUUUGCUAUGGUAAUUGCUGGUUUUCAGUUCUCAGAAGUCACUGCCACAUAACCAGAGGGUGGCUGACAGACCAGUUGUCUUAAAAGCUUUGGUUCUGCAGACUUGCUCAUCUGCUGUUCAGUAGCAACAUAAAAUAGCAACACAGGUUCUUAUAGUGCCAAAUCAUCCUGACUCUGCAGACAGCUCUUUCCAUAAUGUGCAUGAAAAGAUUAAAACCUGUAUCUACAGUCCUGCAGCACAGAGAAAAGAAAUCCUGAUCAUGUUAACCUCUGACAAUUUCACUUUUGCUGUGGGAACAUGAUGGGCUAUUUUCCAUUUCCUCAGAAGCUCGUUGGAAUUUACCCUGGAAUUCAUGUGAGAGCUUCAGGUUCAAACUUAGUAAUGAAGACAAUUUCUGCCCUGAGAAACUGGAUGUUGACUUGAUCUAACUUAAUGAUGGAAAACACCUGAGACCAAUGAGCCCUGAACGAAAACUCCUGUGUCCUCCAGCUGUGGGUUCUGCCAAGGGAGUCGAGACAAUGGAAGCAACUUGUACGUGUGAUGUUUUUCCUGCUGGCAGAGCUUCACUGCGAACUUGGG